RNAcentral lists this ribosomal RNA (540 nucleotides) under uncultured Glomeromycotina. RNAcentral describes it as "SSU rRNA". It matches the Rfam family "Eukaryotic small subunit ribosomal RNA", at positions 555 to 1098 of the family's 1831-position model. Lineage: Eukaryota; Fungi; Glomeromycota. The record is from RNAcentral.
GGAAGUCUGGUGCCAGCAGCCGCGGUAAUUCCAGCUCCAAUAGCGUAUAUUAAAGUUGUUGCAGUUAAAAAGCUCGUAGUUGAAUUUCGGGAUCAAUAUUUCGGUCAUGCCGUUGGUAUGCACUGUUAUCAUUGAUUUCUCACCUUCUAAAGAACCAUAAUGCCAUUAAUUUGGUGUUACGGGGAAUUAGGACUGUUACCUUGAAAAAAUUAGAGUGUUUAAAGCAGGCUCACGCUUGAAUACAUUAGCAUGGAAUAAUGAAAUAGGACAUCCGAUUCUAUUUUGUUGGUUUCUAGGAUCGAUGUAAUGAUUAAUAGGGAUAGUUGGGGGCAUUAGUAUUCAAUUGUCAGAGGUGAAAUUCUUGGAUUUAUUGAAGACUAACUACUGCGAAAGCAUUUGCCAAGGAUGUUUUCAUUAAUCAAGAACGAAAGUUAGGGGAUCGAAGACGAUCAGAUACCGUCGUAGUCUUAACCAUAAACUAUGCCGACUAGGGAUCGGACGGUGUUUCUAUUAUGACCCGUUCGGCGCCUUACGGGAAAC